GAUGAAGAACGUAGCGAAAUGCGAUAAGUAAUGUGAAUUGCAGAAUUCAGUGAAUCAUCGAAUCUUUGAACGCAUCUUGCACUCCUUGGUAUUCCGAGGAGCAUGCCUGUUUGAGUGUCAUUUAACUUCUCAACCACAUUGGAUAUUUUUUUUCCGAUGCCGGCUUGGAUGUGGGGGUUGUUUGCAGGCUUUUUGUAACAAAAAAGGUCGGCUCCCCUGAAAUGUAUUAGUGGUAUCUGAGGCUAUUACUAUUAGGUGUGAUAAUUAUCUAUGCCUUUUGGGUAUGCCGCAUGAACAGAUUAUGCUGCUUCUAACGAAAACUAUUUUGAUGAAUUUGACCUCAAAUCAGGUAGGACUACCCGCUGAACUUAAGCAUAUCAAUAAGCGGAGGA
This 392-nucleotide unclassified non-coding RNA is filed under the name soil metagenome. RNAcentral describes it as "partial contains 5.8S ribosomal RNA, internal transcribed spacer 2, and large subunit ribosomal RNA". The stretch from base 1 to 120 matches the Rfam family "5.8S ribosomal RNA", at positions 35 to 154 of the family's 154-position model. The record is from RNAcentral.